Molecule: long non-coding RNA, 1401 nt
Organism: Arachis duranensis
Lineage: Eukaryota; Viridiplantae; Streptophyta; Magnoliopsida; Fabales; Fabaceae
Exons: 6
Source: RefSeq, a predicted model, not a curated record
UCUCCUCCACGGCGACGGCGCGGUGCUCUCCUCCACGGCGACGGCGCGGUGCACUCCUCCACGGCGACGGCGUGGUGUUCAUCUCCACGCAGGCUUCUCCAUGGCGACGGCGCGAUGCGCUCCUCGUUCUGUGCCCAACCACCUCCGGCGAGAAACCCCUCUCCUUUCUCUUCUCCUUCUUCCUCUUCUUCUCUUUUCUCGCAUUCUUCCUUCGCGAACCGGAGAUGCAUGCAGAACCAUAGCAACCUCUGUUCCGCUGGCAAGCUUUGAUGCAACACAGCGACCACCCCUCCGCUGGUCUAUUGCUUUGGCAACAUGGCGACCACCCCUCAAGUGGAGAUGCUGAUGUAAUAUGUGGUGUAGCUUGGAAAUUCUGGCUGCUGGAGCAUAUGGCUUGCCUCAAUUUCGACUGCGAGUGUUUUUAUGGGGUACUAAACCUUCUGAGGUAUUCUAAUAUUUUUGAGAAUGCUGUUGAUCAAGUUCGGUACCUUUUCCCACAUCUAUAUCUCAAUUCUGUUGGGUUGGAUCAUCACAAAGUUGUAAAGGAAGGUCAAUUGGUAGAACCUCACUCAGCAUAACCAUGAAUGAAUUGACAAACUUCGGCAAUCAUAUAAUGAACUCCUCGAAUUCAAGAUUGUAUUGCAGAAGGUUUCGUUGCGCCUUACUGACUUGGAGGCAACUUUGGAUGCAAGGUUGAGGCACCACAAUAAGGCUCUAGCUUUUGUAGGGGAACAUCUAUCAGACUAGAUAAACAUGGUAUGAUUUUCUUUUUUUCUGUCUUGUUUUUCAACUACAAAGCAGUCCUUUUACUUUUGAUACUGCUGCUCGUGAUCAAACAAGAGAGAGCAUCAAUGAGUUCUUGGAAAGUGUUAAAAGCCAUGAUCUAGCAAAAGCUGAGAUUCUCAACAUAAUCAACAUCAGGCCCACUAACAUAGUCGAAAUUUUUUCGAUCAUAGUGUUGUGAUACUCGUUUUUCGGAUGAAGAGCUCACAGAAAUAGUUGAGAUUGUGAAGAGAACAUUGCCACCACCCCCUGAAGAUGCCAAUGGUGCUGAAGCAACAAAAUCAAAUGGUGAGAAAGGUAGGGAACAAAUGGAAACAAGUUGAUAUCCUACUUGUGACCAUAGAAUUUUGUGAAUAGCACCACAGGAUCUCAAGCAAGUAGUUCGGUUAUAGUUUUCUAUUAGUUGGUAUGCUAAGAUUUAGAAUUAGGUUCAAUUUUCAAGGGGUGUAAGUGUGUUGAUUACUACCUUAUUGGUGAUGAAAUACACAUGCAAGGUGCAUUGCCAAAUUUGCAAUAUCGCACAGCAGGAAAAAUAUGUAUUUUGUUACUUAUGUUUAUUUAUUUGACUUGGUAACUUAGCAAGUAUGUUAAUUGGCAGAUGGAAGAUCUUUCUAUAUA